RNAcentral lists this ribosomal RNA (497 nucleotides) under uncultured bacterium. Its description in RNAcentral is "partial 16S ribosomal RNA". It matches the Rfam family "Bacterial small subunit ribosomal RNA", at positions 28 to 507 of the family's 1533-position model. The record is from RNAcentral.
GAUGAACGCUGGCGGCGUGCCUAAUACAUGCAAGUCGAGCGAACAGACGAGGAGCUUGCUCCUCUGACGUUAGCGGCGGACGGGUGAGUAACACGUGGAUAACCUACCUAUAAGACGGGGAUAACUUCGGGAAACCGGAGCUAAUACCGGAUAAUAUAUUGAACCGCAGGGAUCAAUAGUGAAUGACGGUUUUGCUGUCACUUAUAGAUGGAUCCGCGCCGCAUUAGCUAGUUGGUAAGGUAACGGCUUACCAAGGCAACGAUGCGUAGCCGACCUGAGAGGAUGAUCGGCCACACUGGAACUGAGACACGGUCCAGACUCCUACGGGAGGCAGCAGUAGGGAAUCUUCCGCAAUGGGCGAAAGCCUGAUGGAGCAACGCCGCGUGAGUGAUGAAGGUCUUCGGAUCGUAAAACUCUGUUAUUAGGGAAGAACAACUGUGUAAGUAACUAUGCACGUCUUGACGGUACCUAAUCAGAAAGCCACGGCUAACUACGUG